Pogona vitticeps (central bearded dragon) is the source of this 2097-nucleotide long non-coding RNA. The record is from Ensembl. Lineage: Eukaryota; Metazoa; Chordata; Lepidosauria; Squamata; Agamidae.
UUCCAAAUUUACAAAAGACAAAUAAAAAUGGGAAAAUAUUCGUCAAUUCGUAUUCAUCGGGACUUAAAAUUUGAUGAAUACGAAUCGACGACUAUAUAAAGAAUCGGCUAUUUUCGUCAAAAAAAGCCGAUCCGUUUUUAUAUUCAUUCCCAUCUCUAAUUAAAACUCAUACUAAGAGCGAUAUUAAAAAACACAAAUAAAACAACAUAAUAAAAUAAUUCCUUUUAAAAAUCCCGUUGGUCAACCAGUCAUUUAAACGAAAGCGCCUGAAAUGAAAGGUUUUCGCCUGCUUGUGGAAGAAUAGCAGAGAUGGGGUGUCUGCUUGUGGAAGAAUAGCAGAGAUGGAGGCCCACCUGGCCUCCUGGCGGAGGGAGGUCCGAAGUCUAGAAGCAGCCACAGAGGAGGUCCUCUUCUGUCUUCCCGUCAAGCGCACCUGUGAAGGUAGUGGGACCGAGAGAAAGGCCUCUCCUGAUUAUCUUAAUACCAAGAAGGCUCACAAAGGGAGACAAGGUCCUUAAGACAUCUUGGGCCCAAGCCAUUUAAGGCUUUAUAGGUUUGAACUGUGCCUGGAAAUGAAUCAGCAGCCAGUGACUGCUGUAACAGAGGAGUUACGUGUUGUCUGAAACUAGUUUUAAGUACGAUGGGGCAGUAUAUAAGGAACAUGCUUUGUUUUGAUAUCACCUCUUCCUUUAUCCCCAUCCUCUUCACUUCCCUGCAUUCCUCCAGCUUCUUGUUUCACCAGCAUAACUGGGUAGCUGGGAGUCCACCUGUCCAGCAGCAAGCACUGGUCACCUCGUCCUUGUCUGACAUCACAGUCGGGAGACUCACUUUCCAGGCAAGCUGCAGUGGGAAGGGCAAGAGCUCCUGCUUGCCAAGCUCUGCACGUACAGCCGAAAAACUGCUUUGUCACAGGAAGUUAUGCCGUGGAAGGAUGCAGAAUCAGAGGAAGCAUUCGUUCUGCUGAAAGCUCACGAGUGCCCGCCGCCUCCUCUUUACCUUUGGAACAUCUAGAUUCUUAAUGGCCGAUUAAAGGUCUCACCUGCUCCUGCAUCUGCCUUGGAGGGUGCUGGACUCUCUGAGGGGACAUGACCACCUUUUAGGAAUGCUUUUGCUGUGGAUUUGCUGCUUUGGGAGCACAGUGUUGCAGGGGCCGUCAACCCCCGGUCUGCGGCCCAGUGCUGGUCCGUGGGCUUGCUGGAACUGGGCCAUGGAUAAUGAUCUCCGCCCCCUGCAUGCACGCGUGGGGGGUAUCGUGCCCACAUUGGGCAUGUUACGCCCCCCGUGAGCGUGACAUACCCACCACGCUUGCACGGGGUGCCUCUGCCCCCACACACAAGGAGCUCACUCCCCCCCCAGCCAGUCCAUGGCCCCAAAAAGGUUGGGGACAACUGCAGUAUUGGACCUGAUGAUUCUUUGGAUUUCACCUAAGUCUACAAUUCCAUGCUUCUGUGACAUCUUAAAACCAGACGGGGCCCUGCUUUACUACACUUGUCCUCCCUCAAACCUAGGGCAAUGUUGCCCCUUCCUCCAGCUUUGGAAAGCUUAUAUUCCCACGGAGACUCUGCAUUCUAAAACCCCAAUAUUUUUGCCCCCUAAGUGGCACGCUACAUGUCCCAGGAGCCUUUGUGAGGAAUGCUAUGCCACGUAAACUUAAUUUUGCCUCUCCCCCUGUCUCGUACCCUGUUUUAGGCUUUACUUUUUAAAGAAACAAUAAUUGAGCAUCCACUCUCUGGUAAUGCUUAAAGAAAGUGGGAAUUAUGUUUAAACAGCCAGUCGGAUGUUUUGAGGCUUCUAGCAGUGCAAUGUGCCAUUUGGGCAUACACAGCAAUUGAAACCGUUGGGAAACAGAUCAGACCAAAUAGCUAAUCCAGAGAGGGGACUGCAUGUGAUUCAUAGGCCACCAUUUGCCCACCAAGGAAUCAUCUGUGAGGGCCUGUAAUUGGGCUCCUUCCUCAGGUUAGCUUGUCUGGUUUAUAUGUGAACCCUUGGCUACUAUCAAAAAAGAGAGGAAGAAGUAGGUUCCUGAGCAACAGUAGGUUUUUCAGUAGCAAUUUAUGACAUAAUUAAAGCAAUAAUAAACCCACAAUUUCUGCAUCA